This 470-nucleotide ribosomal RNA is filed under the name uncultured bacterium. RNAcentral describes it as "bacterial SSU rRNA". It matches the Rfam family "Bacterial small subunit ribosomal RNA", at positions 33 to 507 of the family's 1533-position model. The record is from RNAcentral.
GACGACGCUGGCGGCGUGCCUAACACAUGCAAGUCGAGCGGAGGUACCCAAGGAGUAAUCUGAGGGUACUUUAGCGGCGGACGGGUGAGUAACGCGUGAGCAACCUGCCUUUCACAGGGGGAUAAGGCGGCGAAAGCCGCUCUAAUACCGCAUGAGACCACGGGGAUGAUAUUUCUGGGGUCAAAGGAGCAAUCCGGUGAGAGAUGGGCUCGCGUCCGAUUAGGUAGUUGGUGAGGUAACGGCCCACCAAGCCAAUGAUCGGUAGCCGGCCUGAGAGGGUGAACGGCCACAUUGGAACUGAGAGACGGUCCAAACUCCUACGGGAGGCAGCAGUGGGGAAUAUUGGGCAAUGGGGGAAACCCUGACCCAGCAACGCCGCGUGAGGGAAGAAGGUUUUCGGAUUGUAAACCUCUGUUCUUGGAGAAGAGAAGAAGACGGUAUCCAAGGAGGAAGCCCGGGCUAACUACGUG